This 402-nucleotide ribosomal RNA is filed under the name Bacteroidota bacterium. RNAcentral's name for it is "Bacteroidetes bacterium partial 16S ribosomal RNA". It matches the Rfam family "Bacterial small subunit ribosomal RNA", at positions 355 to 776 of the family's 1533-position model. Lineage: Bacteria; Pseudomonadati; Bacteroidota. The record is from RNAcentral.
UGGGGAAUUUUGCACAAUGGGGGAAACCCUGAUGCAGCGACGCCGCGUGAUUUAGAAGGCCUUCGGGUUGUAAAAAUCUUUUCUAUGGGAAGAAAAUGACAGUACCAUAGGAAUAAGGACCGGCCAAUUACGUGCCAGCAGCCGCGGUAAUACGUAAGGUCCGAGCGUUGUCCGGAAUCAUUGGGCGUAAAGGGUACGUAGGCGGGUAAGCAAGUUAGAAGUGAAAUCCUAUAGCUCAACUAUAGUAAGCUUUUAAAACUGCUCAUCUUGAGGUAUGGAAGAGGAAGUGGAAUUCCUAGUGUAACGGUGAAAUGCGCAGAUAUUAGGAGGAAUACCGGUGGCGAAGGCGACUUUCUGGCCAUAACCUGACGCUGAGGUACGAAAGCGUGGGUAGCAAACAGG